RNAcentral lists this transfer RNA (65 nucleotides) under Dipodomys ordii (Ord's kangaroo rat). It matches the Rfam family "tRNA". From Rfam's summary of the family: Transfer RNA (tRNA) molecules are approximately 80 nucleotides in length. Lineage: Eukaryota; Metazoa; Chordata; Mammalia; Rodentia; Heteromyidae. The record is from Rfam by way of RNAcentral.
GGUGGCUCAGUGGUGGAGUACUUGCCUUGCAUGCAUGAUGCCCUGGGUUCGAUUCCCCAGCACCA